This 222-nucleotide long non-coding RNA is filed under the name Pan troglodytes (chimpanzee). Its description in RNAcentral is "long non-coding RNA NONPTRT014552". The record is from RNAcentral. Lineage: Eukaryota; Metazoa; Chordata; Mammalia; Primates; Hominidae.
UAAAUAAAUAAGUAGGUAUGGUAGCUCAUACCUACAAUCCCAGUGCUUUGGGAGGCCGAGGCAGUAGGAUUGUUUGAACCCAGGAGUUCAAGACCAGCCUGGGCAACAUAGCAAGAUCCUGUCUCUAUUUUGUUUUUUAAUGGGAAAAAAAAUCAAAAUAAUAACAAAAAUAGAUAAAAGGAGAAAUCAAUGAACUAGAGAACAAAAAGACAGUAAAUCUAA